AUUGAACGCUGGCGGCAUGCUUUACACAUGCAAGUCGAACGGUAACAGGCCGCAAGGUGCUGACGAGUGGCGAACGGGUGAGUAAUGCAUCGGAACGUGCCCAGUCGUGGGGGAUAACUACUCGAAAGAGUAGCUAAUACCGCAUACGAUCUAAGGAUGAAAGCGGGGGACCGUAAGGCCUCGCGCGAUUGGAGCGGCCGAUGUCAGAUUAGGUAGUUGGUGGGGUAAAGGCUCACCAAGCCAACGAUCUGUAGCUGGUCUGAGAGGACGACCAGCCACACUGGGACUGAGACACGGCCCAGACUCCUACGGGAGGCAGCAGUGGGGAAUUUUGGACAAUGGGCGCAAGCCUGAUCCAGCAAUGCCGCGUGCAGGAAGAGGGCCUUCGGGUUGUAAACUGCUUUUGUACGGAACGAAACGGCUCUGGUUAAUACCCGGGGCUAAUGACGGUACCGUAAGAAUAAGCACCGGCUAACUACGUG
Molecule: ribosomal RNA, 482 nt
Filed under: uncultured bacterium
Lineage: Bacteria
Description: partial 16S ribosomal RNA
Rfam family: Bacterial small subunit ribosomal RNA
Source: RNAcentral